AGUGGAUCAUUGGUAAUGUUGGACUGUAUUUGUAUUGACCAGGACUUCAGUUGUUCCUUAGAGAAAAUCAGUUAUAAUUCUUUGUUUUACUUUUCCCAGGAGAUUCUGCUUUCUGCAGAAGUGGGGUUCAAUCUUAUCAGGGGUGCCGCUGCUAAUUCCCAGCUAACACUGACUGCUUCUGAUGAACCAGCGAGCCUGCAGUGGGGCCCUGAGAAGAGUUCGAGCAAGUUUCCAGCGCUGCUGACACUGCUGUCAAAUAGCCACAACUUGAGAAGCACUGCCUUGGAGGGACUCGCCCACAGGUGAAUGUCAGCACCAUAGCUAGCCUGGUGAGCUCAGCACCCACUCCCAGCCCAAGCUCCAUGGCAAAGGCACACACCAAAUGAUGGGCUGCGCCUUCUUCAGCUGAGGGCUGAGGGCGCCAUCAGCAGUGGAUCGCGGAGCCACCCCUUCCUGAGGCCUCACCACCACAUCUCCAGGCUCUCCUAGGAGCUUUGGGAAUUAGCAGCUAACUGCCCCAUCCUCACUCAAGCAUCUCAGCUUCAGGCUCCUGUGGGAGGAAGCCAGGCAUGUGGAGAGCAAUAAAGAUUCCCUUAGAGGAGCCCCUUGACCUAGAAGAACGGAGAGGGCAGUCCACUAGAAUACCAAUUUGGACACUCAACCUGAGUCCAUGUCAUGAAUUCAUGGAUCUGUCUGGAGAUCUCCCAAAAUUUCUGAAGAUACAGAAGACCAACUAGAUGUUCAUAGGUCACCUUAAGCUUGAAAUCCUUCGUUAGGGCAAGGGAUAUAGGUUUUGGUUUCAUUCUGCAUCCCAGCAAGAUGGGACAGUGACCCUACUCAGCUGACUUUGUGGCCACUGCAGCACCUGAUGCAACAUCAGAGCCGGUAAGUGACCCCAAGACCACUCUGUCCUGCCCUCCGCCUAGGUCAUCAGGCUGCUGCAGGGUCUGUGCCUCCCUUGUGCAAGACCUGAGAAGGCCCCAUGUGGAACUCCAGGCUGAGGCAGAUAUGCCAGCCACACCCAGCAAGAGCACCACCAACCAGAAUAUGCCAUGCUCUCACUCUUCGGGGCCGUGUAGGGAUCCUUAACCCCUUCCGACCCCUUACCUAUGUGAGAUAAACACUGGACAACCCCACUUCCCCUACACCUCCCCAAUCACUUUUGUCCUGCUUUCUGCCCUUGGCUUCCAUCUGGAAAUCUGCUACCUCCAAGGAGCCCUGCUCAAGUCCCUUCUUGCCUAAUGCUUUCCUCACUCCCAAACCCUCAGGAGUAGCCCCUUCUCGGUCUCCUUGUUGAGCUCAGUAUUGGGACCAGGGUCCUGGGUAAAUACAAAUUCCCUGUGGCUCCAAGCCUUAUUACCAGAUCAUCCUCCCAGAAGGAUUAGGGACACCCUUGUACCUCACAAACAGCACACACAACCCACCCUGGAGCUUUCAGUCCUAAAGGCCUUUCUUUGAUAGCGCCACUGCCUUGCAGCUCUAGUGGGACAGACAAAUUCUGCCUGCCUUAGGAUAAGACUGAGGGGUCUGUCCUGCCUUGUGGUGGGACAUUCUGCCCCCCCCAUC
This is a long non-coding RNA of Enhydra lutris kenyoni (northern sea otter), 1566 nucleotides long. RefSeq lists it as uncharacterized. NCBI's taxonomy places the organism in Eukaryota, Metazoa, Chordata, Mammalia, Carnivora, Mustelidae. The record is from RefSeq and is a predicted model, not a curated record. The transcript is spliced from 5 exons.